ACAAAAAAAUGGCUUCACAUACGAUCAAGCUUUUCAACUAUCAAGAGAUCAUUCGGAAUUUGUACUGUGAAGGUUUAUCCUUUUUGUUUUCCAAAAAUUCAUUCAAUUUAUCUAUUGUCGGACUAAAUCAUCUUAGCCUUUAUCUCUAUAUAUAUAGAAGAGAAGUACAAAAUCAAAAAUUACUAAAAAUUUCCAAGAUUACCACGACCCGAUUGAGGUGGGAUCCGCGCGUUAACCCGUCAAAGCUCUCGACCCGUUUGAUUGAGGAUCCGACGUUAUUGAUUGGAUCCAAAGACAUAGACUUGAAUAACCUAAUUGAUAUUUUCCUCCUUUUGAUCGUCGUCUACCUAGAACACCUUUCGUAAGUUUUUUUUGUUCUUUGUACUUCUUCUUUCGAGAAUCUCUCCCUCUUCAUGUGACGAGUUUGAAGUGGUGGUUGCGUGCAAAUUCCACCUGAUGUAAAAGAAGAUCGCGGGUGAGAGUUUUUGAGAAGAUAAUGGAUAAGCGGCGUUUUGGGUUUGUAGAUUAGAAGGUAAAUCUUUUUCUUUUUUUUUUUUUUUCUUUCAUAACCUGUUAUAUGUAAGUUUUUUUGGUUCAGUAUAAUUGAUACGAAUUAAUCGAAUUCCACUUGAUUUGAGGGCGAGAGAGAGAGAGAGAGAGUUUGAAGAGACUGAGUUGAUUGAGACUGGAAACAAAGAAGAGAUGCAGUGUCGGUGGUGUUGUAGAGGAAGAAGAAAGCAACUACGGUGACGAUAAAGCAAAUAGAAGACAACAAGUCGAGAAAUCUAGGUUUUUGGGUUCAUUGAUUCGUCGUCGGAUCUAUUGAUGAGUUGGUAAUUCUAUGAUCUGAGAUUUUGGCAGCUUGGUAGGAGACGGCGCCGCACGAUCUUGAAUCAACAUCAGUUCAAAGAGGGAGCCCAGAACUCUUAAUAAAACUUCUAAAUCAGAACCUGAUAUUUUGUGAUCUGUUCCUCAAAAUUUGAGAUUUGUGUAUUGUUGUCUGCAAGUGAAUGAUGUAAUGCGGUUGUUGUUGGUUGGAACUAACUUGAAUGCAAUGCAAAAGAGCUCGGAUUUAGAAAGCAGAGUCUAUGAGAGCUGUGACGUCAAAUGCAAAUUGCCAAAAUAUCAUCUUUUAUCUUUUCAGGAGCUGAGUAGUUAUUUGGAAGACAAUACAACCAGAUUUGUUAUAGUUGAUAAGAGCACUGAUGGGGACUUCUUACGAAUUGAUUAUCAACAUCAGCCGGUGUUGUGUUUCUAAAGUAAUCAUAGUUGACCAGAAAUGUUUCUUCUCUGAUAACUUCUUCUUUUUCUUCUUUUUAUUGUUCAGUUUGGAUCAUUGGGUUCUUUUAACAAGGUUGUUUCCUCACUAAUUCGGAUGAGAGGAUACAAAUUUGGUAGUUACAGAAGUCGUUCAAAAUUUGGAGCUCAUGAUUUAGUGACUUAUACGAAGUGGCUUGAGAACUUAUGGUGAGAAGAUUUUCAGAUCAAAGCUUGAGCCAAUGUGAUGGAAGAAACACUAAAAAUCUAGAGAAAUUGAAACAGGUCAUCGUGGUGAAGUGGAAGAAGAAGAAGAAGCAAAAAAUACUCUCCAGUCUCCACCUUACUUUUUUUUUCUUCUGUACCAAACUCUCAACCUUAGAACUGGUUUUAAAUGGGCUGUAUCAAAUUGAAAUUUAAAUGGUGUGAGUAGGAAACCAUAGGGACAUAAAAUUUAGGUUUCUCUACUUCAAAUAUUUCUGUGUUUCGAGCAAUAUACCGAAUAUUCACGUAUAAAAGAAAGUUUUCAAUCCUU
This is a non-coding RNA of Camelina sativa (false flax), 1792 nucleotides long. NCBI's taxonomy places the organism in Eukaryota, Viridiplantae, Streptophyta, Magnoliopsida, Brassicales, Brassicaceae. The record is from RefSeq and is a predicted model, not a curated record.